RNAcentral lists this ribosomal RNA (253 nucleotides) under uncultured bacterium. RNAcentral describes it as "partial 16S ribosomal RNA". It matches the Rfam family "Bacterial small subunit ribosomal RNA", at positions 524 to 776 of the family's 1533-position model. The record is from RNAcentral.
UACGAGGGGUGCAAGCGUUGUCCGGAUUUACUGGGCGUAAAGCGUGCGCAGGCGGCUUUAUAAGCCAGAUGUGAAAUCCCCGGGCUCAACCUGGGAACUGCAUCUGUGACUGCAUAGCUAGAGUACGGCAGAGGGGGAUGGAAUUCCGCGUGUAGCAGUGAAAUGCGUAGAUAUGCGGAGGAACACCGAUGGCGAAGGCAAUCCCCUGGGCCUGUACUGACGCUCAUGCACGAAAGCGUGGGGAGCAAACAGG